GGGCCCGCACAAGCGGUGGAGCAUGUGGUUUAAUUCGAAGCAACGCGCAGAACCUUACCAAGGCUUAAAUGUAGAGGGACAGGCGGCGAAAGUUGCCCUUCUUCGGACUCUCUACAAGGUGCUGCAUGGUUGUCGUCAGCUCGUGCCGUGAGGUGUCGGGUUAAGUCCCAUAACGAGCGCAACCCCUAUCUUUAGUUGCCAGCGGUUCGGCCGGGGACUCUAAAGAAACUGCCCGCGCAAGCGGUGAGGAAGGUGGGGAUGACGUCAAAUCAUCACGGCCCUUACGUCUUGGGCUACACACGUGCUACAAUGGUAGUGACAAUGGGCAGCCACUCCGCGAGGAGGCGCAAA
Molecule: ribosomal RNA, 351 nt
Filed under: uncultured bacterium
Lineage: Bacteria
Description: bacterial SSU rRNA
Rfam family: Bacterial small subunit ribosomal RNA
Source: RNAcentral